AUGUUCGCUGCCAUGGCCAUCCUCCUCUCCUCCAUCGCUAGCCGGCUGAGGCUCCGCCGCCGGAACAAGAGGAUCACGUCCUCUUCGGGCAACCCCCGCCCACCUUUCUUCUCCUGCGGCGGCGGCGGCGACACCCUCAGCCCUUUCGUGAAGCCCAAGACGACGAGGAAGCUCAAGGCGCCGUCGAGCACAAGAUUCGCGGAGCAUGGCCAGGACGGCGGCACGGUGGACGACGACGACGUCGGCGAGCCGUGCCUGUGGCGGCGAACGAUACUGCUCGGCCAGAGGUGCCAGCCGCUGGAGUUCAGCGGGGCCAUACACUACGACAACGAUGGGCGGCGGCUCUGGCACGCACGGACUCCGCUCCUGAGCCCCGGCCGUUCUUCGGAAUUCGGAUACAUUGAUAGGGCAUGA
RNAcentral lists this ribosomal RNA (414 nucleotides) under Triticum aestivum (bread wheat). Its description in RNAcentral is "partial small subunit ribosomal RNA". Lineage: Eukaryota; Viridiplantae; Streptophyta; Magnoliopsida; Poales; Poaceae. The record is from RNAcentral.